This 245-nucleotide long non-coding RNA is filed under the name Homo sapiens (human). RNAcentral describes it as "non-protein coding lnc-HNRNPA1P48-14:1". The record is from RNAcentral. Lineage: Eukaryota; Metazoa; Chordata; Mammalia; Primates; Hominidae.
UCUCCAGCCCAAGGUCACUAUUCAGCCACCACUUGGCCCUCCCUACCUGUGUAUUGCAUCAGCCUAUAAAAUGACAUGAAGUUUCUUGGGCUGCAAUUAGGAGAGUGCAUACAGACCUGUAUCUCGUUGUGGAACCUCAUUAAAGGGAGUGAUAAAGUGAAGGUCGGCUAUCUUUAUAAGGACAAGAAGGGAGGAACCAAAUACCCAGAAGGCAGGGAGGUUAAUGAGAAAUAGAAUGCACUUUC